This is a long non-coding RNA of Carassius auratus (goldfish), 179 nucleotides long. RefSeq lists it as uncharacterized. The transcript is spliced from 3 exons. The record is from RefSeq and is a predicted model, not a curated record. NCBI's taxonomy places the organism in Eukaryota, Metazoa, Chordata, Actinopteri, Cypriniformes, Cyprinidae.
UUAACACUUAACUUGUCAUUCAAAACUGUCACAUGGGCGACAACUACAGCAGGUAUAAAUUUAACGCUGAAGAAAGAAUGUACUACCCAGACAUGUUUCCAAAAUUUUCUUGAUCAGAUAGAAAACAUUACAGUACUCCCAUUGGAUGUAAGUAUUCAAGAGAAGAAUCAUAAAUUAAU